This 75-nucleotide transfer RNA is filed under the name Halobacteriales archaeon. RNAcentral describes it as "tRNA-Glu". It matches the Rfam family "tRNA". From Rfam's summary of the family: Transfer RNA (tRNA) molecules are approximately 80 nucleotides in length. Their secondary structure includes four short double-helical elements and three loops (D, anti-codon, and T loops). The record is from RNAcentral. Lineage: Archaea; Methanobacteriati; Methanobacteriota; Halobacteria; Halobacteriales.
GGUCUGUUAGGGUAGUCCGGCCAAUCCUGCUAGGUUUUCGACCUGGCGACACGGGUUCGAAUCCCGUACAGACCA